UACGGUGGGGGCAAGCGUUGUUCGGAAUUACUGGGCGUAAAGGGCUCGUAGGCGGCCAACUAAGUCGGAUGUGAAAUCCCCAGGCUCAACUUGGGAACUGCAUCCGAUACUGGAUGGCUUGAAUUCGGGAGAGGGAUGCAGCAUUCCAGGUGUAGCGGUGAAAUGCGUAGAUAUCUGGAGGAAUACCGGUGGCGAAGGCGGCAUCCUGGACCGACAUUGACGCUGAGGAGCGAAAGCUAGGGGAGCAAACGGG
RNAcentral lists this ribosomal RNA (253 nucleotides) under uncultured bacterium. RNAcentral's name for it is "partial 16S ribosomal RNA". It matches the Rfam family "Bacterial small subunit ribosomal RNA", at positions 524 to 776 of the family's 1533-position model. The record is from RNAcentral.